GACGAACGCUGGCGGCGUGCUUAACACAUGCAAGUCGAACGGAAAGGCCUGCUUUCCCUUGUGGAUUGCGGGUACUCGAGUGGCGAACGGGUGAGUAACACGUGAGUGAUCUGCCCCCAACUUGGUUAUAAGCUGGGGAAACUGGACCUAAUCCCCGACCGGCCGGCAGGUGGUGGCCGGUGUUGGAAACGGAUUUUUUAGUGGUUGGGGAUGAGCUCCCGGCUUAUCGGUUGGUUGGGGGGGUAAUGGCCUACCAAGGCGGGGACGGGUAGCCGGCCUGAGAGGGUGGACGGCCACAGUGGGACUGAGAUACGGCCCAGACUCCUACGGGAGGCAGCAGUGGGGAAUAUUGCACAAUGGGCGGAAGCCUGAUGCAGCGACGCCGCGUGGGGGAUGACGGCCUUCGGGUUGUAAACUCCUUUCGACCGCGAGGAAGCCACCUGGUUGGAAGGGUGGUGACGGUAGUGGUAGAAGAAGCACCGGCUAACUACGUG
This 494-nucleotide ribosomal RNA is filed under the name uncultured bacterium. Its description in RNAcentral is "partial 16S ribosomal RNA". It matches the Rfam family "Bacterial small subunit ribosomal RNA", at positions 28 to 507 of the family's 1533-position model. The record is from RNAcentral.